RNAcentral lists this long non-coding RNA (1135 nucleotides) under Phascolarctos cinereus (koala). RNAcentral's name for it is "lncRNA (ENSPCIG00000030885.1)". The record is from RNAcentral. Lineage: Eukaryota; Metazoa; Chordata; Mammalia; Diprotodontia; Phascolarctidae.
GUACCUGUUGCUUUGUCACUUGUCUUUCAUCACUUGCCUGUUGCCACAGGACUUUGAGGAGGUAAAAUGGUAAAAUGAUGAUGUCCUUUGAUUCGUGCGUAAAUUGGAUUUAAGCGAGGCAGAGUUACAUGAAGUCAUAUGCCUCACUCUCUCCUCCAGAAUCAUCACAGUCCAGUAGCAGGACAGACUCAAGACAACUGGUGAUGGCUCAAGAUGCAGUGGAUGACCUUGGCAUCUUCAAUGUCUAACCAAACUUUAAGCACUCCACAGUGCCUGCUCCAGCUGCUUUCAUGGCCAUUGGAACAACUUGUUCUCAUCCUCCCAUUCUACCAGGGGAAGUCUUCACAUGCUUGAGCAGCAGGGGCAGCGCCACCAGCAGCUGGGGCAGCAGAGCCAGCACUGGUAGCAACAGCGACAGCACCACCGGCAGCCAUGGAGGCCAGCUUACUGCUCCCCUGGCCAAUCACAUCUUCUAUGUUCUUGCUACUCAGCUCACUGCCGACCUUCUUCAGCCACUCCUUGUCCAUCUCAAUGCCCAUGCUGUCCAAGAUCUUUAACAGGUCCUUGGAGUUAGGGGAAUCAUUGCCGCUGAAGACAGCCAGGAGGUAGGCUGCCACACAGUGCAUCUCAGCCAUCUAGGCUCUACUCAGGUCCGGUCCAGUGGUUGUGGCCUAGCACCGCAGAAACGGCGGGAGUGUCAUUGGGCGCAGCAAGUCCAACCUCAGCAGAGUCGAGGCCAGGAAAAAAAAGCAAUGAUGAACAUAUUCGCACAUCAUCAUACACACUCCAUCCCUCCAGUUUCUUCUUCUGAACCUCCAAUUACCAUUGUUGGUACCAAUUUAAACAGUUACCAUUGUUCAAACUCUGUUCUCCAUCCUUCAUCGAUUGUUCCCUUUUUUCCUUCUCCCUCAAUCUAACCCUCCCCACCCCAACCUCCCACUCUGCAGUUACUCAACUUUAUUUCCACUGUGCCCUCUGAAAUAUCUAUUCCAUAGGCAACCAUCUAGAUUUUACCUUAACUCUUUUCUUUUUGUGCCCCUUCUAUCUUCUUGCACCCCAUGUGUCUGCCUCCUGAUGAUACAACUUUCCUGGCUGCUCUUUCCGGCAUUGGUUGCGCUUUCAUUCACACGCCCCC